This 346-nucleotide ribosomal RNA is filed under the name uncultured bacterium. Its description in RNAcentral is "partial 16S ribosomal RNA". It matches the Rfam family "Bacterial small subunit ribosomal RNA", at positions 338 to 681 of the family's 1533-position model. The record is from RNAcentral.
CCUACGGGAGGCAGCAGUGAGGAAUAUUGGUCAAUGGGCGGGAGCCUGAACCAGCCAAGUCGCGUGAGGGAAGACGGUCCUAUGGAUUGUAAACCUCUUUAGGCGGGGAGCAAGGCCGGGCACGCGUGCGCGGAGGGAGAGGACCCGCAGAAGAAGGAUCGGCGAACUCCGUGCCAGCAGCCGCGGUAAUACGGAGGAUGCGCGCGUGAGCCGGAUUGCUGGGGUUUCAAGGGUGCGGAGGCGGAUUUUAAAGUCAGCGGUAAAAGGUCCGGGCUCAACCCGGGCCGGCCGUUGAAACUGGGGAUCUUGCGUGGGCGAGAAGUCUGCGGAAUGCGUGGUGUAGCGG